UACGUAGGGUGCGAGCGUUAAUCGGAAUUACUGGGCGUAAAGUGUGCGCAGGCGGCCACGCAAGUCGAGUGUGAAAGCCCCGGGCUUAACUUGGGAAUUGCGCUCGAAACUACGUGGCUGGAGUGUGGCAGAGGAAGGUGGAAUUCCACGUGUAGCGGUGAAAUGCGUAGAUAUCGGGAGGAACAUCAGUGGCGAAGGCGGCCUUCUGGUCCAGUACUGACACUCAAGUGCGAAAGCGUGGGGAGCAAACAGG
Molecule: ribosomal RNA, 253 nt
Filed under: uncultured bacterium
Lineage: Bacteria
Description: partial 16S ribosomal RNA
Rfam family: Bacterial small subunit ribosomal RNA
Source: RNAcentral